This 255-nucleotide ribosomal RNA is filed under the name uncultured bacterium. RNAcentral's name for it is "partial 16S ribosomal RNA". It matches the Rfam family "Bacterial small subunit ribosomal RNA", at positions 524 to 776 of the family's 1533-position model. The record is from RNAcentral.
UACGUAGGGUGCAAGCGUUGUCCGGAUUUAUUGGGCGUAAAGAGCUCGUAGGCGGUUUGUCGCGUCGGAUGUGAAAACCCAGGGCUCAACCCUGGGCCUGCAUUCGAUACGGGCAGACUAGAGUAUGGCAGGGGAGACUGGAAUUCCUGGGUGUAGCGGUGAAAUGACGCAGAUAUCAGGAGGAACACCGGUGGCGAAGGCGGGUCUCUGGGCCAAAACUGACGCUGAGGAGCGAAAGCGUGGGGAGCGAACAGG